Molecule: ribosomal RNA, 850 nt
Filed under: uncultured bacterium
Lineage: Bacteria
Description: bacterial SSU rRNA
Rfam family: Bacterial small subunit ribosomal RNA
Source: RNAcentral
CAGACGGUUANUUAAGCAGGAUGUGAAAUCCCCGGGCUCAACCUGGGAACUGCGUUNUGAACUGGGUGACUAGAGUGUGUCAGAGGGAGGUAGAAUNCCACGUGUAGCAGUGAAAUGCGUAGAGAUGUGGAGGAAUACCGAUGGCGAAGGCAGCCUCCUGGGAUANCACUGACGUUCAUGCCCGAAAGCGUGGGUAGCAAACAGGAUUAGAUACCCUGGUAGUCCACGCCCUAAACGAUGUCGAUUAGCUGUUGGGCAGCAUGACUGCUUGGUAGCGAAGCUAACGCGUGAAAUCGACCGCCUGGGGAGUACGGUCGCAAGAUUAAAACUCAAAGGAAUUGACGGGGACCCGCACAAGCGGUGGAUGAUGUGGAUUAAUUCGAUGCAACGCGAAGAACCUUACCUGGUCUUGACAUGUACGGAACCCUUCAGAGACGGAGGGGUGCCUUCGGGAGCCGUAACACAGGUGCUGCAUGGCUGUCGUCAGCUCGUGUCGUGAGAUGUUGGGUUAAGUCCCGCAACGAGCGCAACCCUUGUCAUUAGUUGCCAUCAUUAAGUUGGGCACUCUAAUGAGACUGCCGGUGACAAGCCGGAGGAAGGUGGGGAUGACGUCAAGUCCUCAUGGCCCUUAUGACCAGGGCUUCACACGUCAUACAAUGGUCGGUACAGAGGGUAGCCAAGCCGCGAGGUGGAGCCAAUCUCACAAAACCGAUCGUAGUCCGGAUUGCACUCUGCAACUCGAGUGCAUGAAGUCGGAAUCGCUAGUAAUCGCAGGUCAGCAUACUGCGGUGAAUACGUUCCCGGGUCUUGUACACACCGCCCGUCACACCAUGGGAGUGGGGGAUACCAG